Molecule: ribosomal RNA, 361 nt
Filed under: uncultured Streptococcus sp.
Lineage: Bacteria; Bacillati; Bacillota; Bacilli; Lactobacillales; Streptococcaceae
Description: bacterial SSU rRNA
Rfam family: Bacterial small subunit ribosomal RNA
Source: RNAcentral
GGUACAUCGGUGACAGGUGGUGCAUGGUUGUCGUCAGCUCGUGUCGUGAGAUGUUGGGUUAAGUCCCGCAACCGAGCCGCAACCCCUAUUGUUAGUUGCCAUCAUUCAGUUGGGCACUCUAGCGAGACUGCCGGUAAUAAACCGGAGGAAGGUGGGGAUGACGUCAAAUCAUCAUGCCCCUUAUGACCUGGGCUACACACGUGCUACAAUGGUUGGUACAACGAGUUGCGAGUCGGUGACGGCGAGCUAAUCUCUUAAAGCCAAUCUCAGUUCGGAUUGUAGGCUGCAACUCGCCUACAUGAAGUCGGAAUCGCUAGUAAUCGCGGAUCAGCACGCCGCGGUGAAUACGUUCCCGGGCCUU